GGGGUUUUGGCUCAGUGGUAGAGCACUUGCCUAGCAUGUGUGAGGCACUGGGUUCAAUACUCAAUACCACA
Molecule: transfer RNA, 71 nt
Filed under: Marmota monax (woodchuck)
Lineage: Eukaryota; Metazoa; Chordata; Mammalia; Rodentia; Sciuridae
Description: tRNA.Ala
Source: RNAcentral